Non-coding RNA from Paramisgurnus dabryanus, 833 nucleotides. Lineage: Eukaryota; Metazoa; Chordata; Actinopteri; Cypriniformes; Cobitidae. The record is from RefSeq and is a predicted model, not a curated record.
ACCGAUUUCUGCAUGUCUGGAAAACGCUCGGAUUUAGUUCCUGUCUCCGCCUCCCAAAAUGUCUAGUGUAUUCGGAUUGGUCAGAUGACUACUCAACUGUUAUUGGUCAACUGGGUUCGGCGUGUGUUUGAAAGGUUACGCCCCUGACUACGCAUGGGUUUUCCGGUUCUGACUGAGAGUCACAGGCAACGUAAACAAGCGCUAUAUUUCUCUAUAAACGAUGGUGUCUGUACUGCCUUACCACUUCAAGCUCGAUCCAGAGAGUUCAGACGGCCGUUACGAUAUAAACGAUCUCCGUCAAUGAACGCGAUUGGAUUUAACUUUUUUAGGUGUCCUUAGCUCUGCCAGAAUGCUAAACGAAGACGAAAAUGUGUUGCAAAGACAUCCAAAAGGUUUUAAGGAGAAUGCAACAUGUUCCAGGGCCUCUUACCUGCGUGAUUCAUCAUCCAGGUUUUGCACAAAUUGUCUAAAUCCCUACACACAGAACAUUUAUUGUACCGACUAUAAGCCUUUGAGGUGCAGGACUAGAAUACGCUUGGAGCUUCCUGAUCAGAUCGGUCACAAUUUUGGCUUUCGACGACCCCUGCACUGAAGAUGGCAUGCAAUCACGUCCUCCUUUGAAGGUCUCUCAAACUGUGAUGCCAGGUCCAUUGGAAUCGGGGUUUCCUUCAGCUUAUCUUCAAAUACCUCAUCAAACACAAGCCUGAUCACAUCAUCCACAUAACUGUAGAAAUAUUGCAGUCAAUAAAUCUUUUGUUUUGAUCAUUUAUUUCCCUGCUUCAUACAUUAAGUUUUUAAUUAUGAAUGUAUUUGAAAUAAAACAUUACUGCUUA